Molecule: long non-coding RNA, 1322 nt
Filed under: Prunus dulcis (almond)
Lineage: Eukaryota; Viridiplantae; Streptophyta; Magnoliopsida; Rosales; Rosaceae
Description: sRNA ncRNA
Source: RNAcentral
AGAGGUGGAUUUGUUUUGUGCCCAAAAGAUUGUGACUUUGUUGAAAGUUCGUAAAUGGAAAAGGCAGCUGCCCCCUGCGGCUUGGAACGCUCAAUUCGGAGGUAUUAUGCCUUGAAUUUUUACAAAAGAAGAAUUGGAACUACCCUAUAGAAGGCAAAACAAAAAUAUAUAAGAGGAAAAAAGGAGAAAAUUUAUCUAAUUUCCCUUUUUUUUAGUUGUAUUUUUUUUUUCUCGGUCCUUUUUUUGGGGGGGGGUGGUGUUCAGGAUGCAGGGUCGAUCUAGUUGGUUUACAUUGAUGUAGUUCCAAUAUGUAAAGAUGGAGUUUAUAUAUAUAUAUAUAUAUAUAUAUAUAUAUAUGUACAUGAUAUAGAGUCAAUUUUAGACCUUGUUAAUGGUGUUAGCCUGUUAGGCUUGUGGGAGAUUCAUUUUGUUUUCUUUCAUUUUCUAUAAAUGAUUCUGAUUAUUUACAACGUUGGACAGACUUCCCUACAUCAUUUUUGUUGUUGGUGGGGGGGGAGGGGGGGAGGAGACACCCUGUUUCGUUACAGGGUUUAUUGACUGCAUUCUUCCUUGUUCUGGAAGACCUCCUCAGUUCCAUUGAGCCGACAAACCUUAUGAAGUUGAAUGUGAAGUGUUACCUUGCAUCUACAUGUUUCAUCUUUUAACUUUAUUUUCAUGUUUCACACUGAUGCUUGUAGUUAUUUCUAGUUUUGCAUACAGAUUAGCAAAUAGGUUAUGCAUUUACUGUUUAGUCAUCUAAUGAUUUGAUAUCUAAUAUUUAGGCAUGUGGGAAUUUAUAGAUGUACCGAUUAUGCAUACAUAUAGGUUUUGUGCUUGUAUUAGGAAGUUAGAUUCUUGUGGUUCCUCUUCAAUGGCAUGAAUUUAAAUUGUUGUGCUUCAUGAUUAGGGUCUGAAGAACAACCAUGUAGUAAGAAAGUUGGAGAAGCAUCAACAGAUUUGCACCAUUGACCAACAUAUUGAAGGGCAAUUUGGUGGUGGUUGUCUGUUGGCUUGUAUUAUAGCAUGGGUUCGUCCGAGUGCUUAACGGUGUUUAUCUGUUUGCAUCUCAUGCCUUAACUCCCUCAGUUUUCUCGAGCAGCUGUCAGAUUGUUUGAAAAUAAUUGUCUACUUUUAAUUUGUUGAAGACUCACCUUGUUAUAUGUUCAUUGCCUUACAUGGCACAUAAACUGUUUCCAUUUUGAAGUUGAACUAUUUCGUACACCUCCAUAUAUAAACAUAGUUGCUCUUUAUGGACAUAUAACAGUUUACUUGUUUGAAACGAUGUGUUCGUUUCCACUGAAUUCUACUCAUUUUUGUAUCCA